Molecule: long non-coding RNA, 810 nt
Organism: Juglans microcarpa x Juglans regia
Lineage: Eukaryota; Viridiplantae; Streptophyta; Magnoliopsida; Fagales; Juglandaceae
Exons: 3
Source: RefSeq, a predicted model, not a curated record
AAUCCCUUAGUCAAUCCAAAAGUCCCCUGCACUGUAAUCUCCACCACGACUUCCGCAAAGGGAUUCACUAUGCUCAUCGACUUCCUUUGCUAGAAUCGGUUUCAAAUCCACCGGUUCUUGUUUUUCCUUGGAAUUCUCUUAUUGGAAUUCUUGGAUUUCUCGUUGCUUGGACUCUUGAGGAUGGAAAAAUCAGCAAUGGACUUCCAGUCUUCAUUGUACAUGAAGACCUCGAAAAAGAACACCGAAAAUACCACAACGGAUAUUGAGAAAUUGUUGUUGUUACGGCUUUUGAUUGCUGCGUUUUCAGAGUGGAACAGAGGUCCUUUCUGGCGAGGUGGCUCCUUCACCUGGUCUUCUUCCAUGGCUGCGGAACUGAACUCUGCAACAAUAAUAAUUGAGGAUAAGAGUGGAGAGGAAAAUGUCCCUAAACUGAUGGUGGCCACGGGCAACCCCAUCAUUCCUUUAUUGAUCAUGUGCCAAACCACAGAGACGAUGUGAAGAUCUACCAUGGUGAAGCACUAUGCAAGCAGAAAUCUCAGGAGCUCCUUGGAGGGAUCACUUUCCCAAAAGGCUUCCCCUCUGGACGGCGUCACUGAGGUGAGCUACAACCACACCACGGGCUUUGCCUGGGUGAAACAAAAGUGCAAGGAGCACCUCUUCUGCUCAAUUUCGUACUACACCGAGGUCAUGGCUUUUGUGGAGGACCGCCUCAUGAGGAGGCUCACCGGGGUCAAGAGCAACGAGUUUCACAUCUGAGUCACCAUCUCUGAUAUCUACAUUACGACCCAGUCUCGGUAAAGAUCAUCUUCG